UGUAGGGUGCGAGCGUUAAUCGGAAUUACUGGGCGUAAAGCGUGCGCAGGCGGUUUUGUAAGACAGAUGUGAAAUCCCCGGGCUCAACCUGGGACCUGCAUUUGUGACUGCAAGGCUAGAGUACGGUAGAGGGGGAUGGAAUUCCGCGUGUAGCAGUGAAAUGCGUAGAUAUGCGGAGGAACACCGAUGGCGAAGGCAAUCCCCUGGACCUGUACUGACGCUCAUGCACGAAAGCGUGGGGGAGCAAACAGGAUUAGAUACCCUGGUAGUCCACGCCCUAAACGAUGUCAACUGGUUGUUGGGUCUUUACUGACUCAGUAACGAAGCUAACGCGUGGAGUUGACCGCCUGGGGAGUACGGCCGCAAGGUUG
This 371-nucleotide ribosomal RNA is filed under the name uncultured organism. RNAcentral's name for it is "bacterial SSU rRNA". It matches the Rfam family "Bacterial small subunit ribosomal RNA", at positions 526 to 896 of the family's 1533-position model. The record is from RNAcentral.